ACGGCAGCACGGGGGCAACCCUGGUGGCGAGUGGCGAACGGGUGAGUAAUACAUCGGAACGUGCCCAGUCGUGGGGGAUAACUACGCGAAAGCGUAGCUAAUACCGCAUACGAUCUACGGAUGAAAGCGGGGGAUCGCAAGACCUCGCGCGAUUGGAGCGGCCGAUGGCAGAUUAGGUAGUUGGUGGGGUAAAGGCUCACCAAGCCUGCGAUCUGUAGCUGGUCUGAGAGGACGACCAGCCACACUGGGACUGAGACACGGCCCAGACUCCUACGGGAGGCAGCAGUGGGGAAUUUUGGACAAUGGGCGCAAGCCUGAUCCAGCCAUUCCGCGUGCAGGAUGAAGGCCCUCGGGUUGUAAACUGCUUUUGUACGGAACGAAAAGGCUCUUUCUAAUACAAGGGGCUCAUGACGGUACCGUAAGAAUAAGCACCGGCUAACUACGUGCCAGCAGCCGCGGUAAUACGUAGGGUGCAAGCGUUAAUCGGAAUUACUGGGCGUAAAGCGUGCGCAGGCGGUGAUGUAAGACAGUUGUGAAAUCCCCGGGCUCAACCUGGGAACUGCAUCUGUGACUGCAUCGCUGGAGUGCGGCAGAGGGGGAUGGAAUUCCGCGUGUAGCAGUGAAAUGCGUAGAUAUGCGGAGGAACACCGAUGGCGAAGGCAAUCCCCUGGGCCUGCACUGACGCUCAUGCACGA
Molecule: ribosomal RNA, 695 nt
Filed under: uncultured Variovorax sp.
Lineage: Bacteria; Pseudomonadati; Pseudomonadota; Betaproteobacteria; Burkholderiales; Comamonadaceae
Description: bacterial SSU rRNA
Rfam family: Bacterial small subunit ribosomal RNA
Source: RNAcentral